AUACUCGCUUCGACGGUACAUAUACUAAAAUUGGAACGAUACGGAGAAGAUUAGCAUGGCCACUGCGCAAGGAUGACACGCAAAAUCGUGAAGCGUUCCACAGUUUU
RNAcentral lists this small nuclear RNA (107 nucleotides) under Schistocerca americana (American grasshopper). Lineage: Eukaryota; Metazoa; Arthropoda; Insecta; Orthoptera; Acrididae. The record is from RNAcentral.